CUAGUGGAAACGGUAGCUAAUACCGCAUAACGUCGCAAGACCAAAGUGGGGGACUUUAGGGCCUCACGCCACAAGAUGAACCCAGAUGAGAUUAGCUAGUAGGUGCGGUAAUGGCGUACCUAGGCGACGAUCUCUAGCUGGUCUGAGAGGAUAACCAGCCACACUGGAACUGAGAAACGGUCCAGACUCCUACGGGAGGCAGCAGUGGGGAAUA
RNAcentral lists this ribosomal RNA (214 nucleotides) under Buchnera aphidicola. RNAcentral describes it as "partial 16S ribosomal RNA". It matches the Rfam family "Bacterial small subunit ribosomal RNA", at positions 147 to 363 of the family's 1533-position model. The record is from RNAcentral. Lineage: Bacteria; Pseudomonadati; Pseudomonadota; Gammaproteobacteria; Enterobacterales; Erwiniaceae. RNAcentral also lists the same sequence under 1 other name.